GCCGGGCGUGGUGGCACACGCCUGUAAUCCCAGCUACUCAGGAGGCUGAGGCAGGAGAAUUGCUUGAACCCAGGAAGCGGAGGUUGCAGUGAGCUGUGAUUGUGCCACUGCACUCCAUCCUGGGUGACAGAGUGAGACUCAGUCUCAA
This is an unclassified non-coding RNA of Pongo abelii (Sumatran orangutan), 148 nucleotides long. It matches the Rfam family "Metazoan signal recognition particle RNA". Rfam says of the family: The signal recognition particle (SRP) is a universally conserved ribonucleoprotein. The record is from Ensembl. Lineage: Eukaryota; Metazoa; Chordata; Mammalia; Primates; Hominidae.